CCUACGGGUGGCUGCAGUGGGGAAUAUUGGGCAAUGGGCGCAAGCCUGACCCAGCAACGCCGCGUGAAGGAAGAAGGCUUUCGGGUUGUAAACUUCUUUUGUCAGGGAAGAGUAGAAGACGGUACCUGACGAAUAAGCCACGGCUAACUACGUGCCAGCAGCCGCGGUAAUGCGUAGGUGGCGAGCGUUGUCCGGAUUUACUGGGUGUAAAGGGCGUGUAGCCGGGUUGACAAGUCAGAUGUGAAAUACUGCGGCUUAACCGCAGAACUGCAUUUGAAACUGUUGAUCUUGAGUACUGGAGAGGCGGACGGAAUUCCUAGUGUAGCGGUGAAAUGCGUAGAGAUUAGGAGGAACACCAGUGACGAAGGCGGUCUGCUGGACAGCAACUGACGGUGAGGCGCGAAAGCGUGGGGAGCAAACAGGAUUAGAUACCCGAGUAGUC
RNAcentral lists this ribosomal RNA (442 nucleotides) under uncultured bacterium. RNAcentral describes it as "partial 16S ribosomal RNA". It matches the Rfam family "Bacterial small subunit ribosomal RNA", at positions 338 to 795 of the family's 1533-position model. The record is from RNAcentral.